UGGAAUAAAAUAUAAUGCUAUUAAUAAUAUUAACAAUAACAGCAAUGAAUACAUAGAACCAUGAUAAUAGAACAAACAUAAUGCAAGUAAAGUAAUACAUUUCACAGACGCUCACACUCGACUAACGCUUGACAAACAAUCUAACUUACACAAAAAUACACAAAAUACCCUCUCACUACGGAUCUGGUUUCUCAUUCCUUUCUACUCCGCACUACAAUAGUCACACUCCAGCAUAUCUUAAAAAGGCCCAUGUCUAUCAUUUUAACAUAUACAAGAUGUCACAUUUUAUACUCUAUGCUCAGCACACCAUCUCCAUGCAGACGGCAACACUGUAGGACAGUUGCUAUUAAUAAUGUCAUGAAUUUGCUUUCUGUUUACUGUAAUAUCAAGUCCCCUAAAAUCACACAGUGGUUUUACCACCUUUGCGUCUUUUCAUCGGAUAUACAGGUCAUUCUCA
RNAcentral lists this long non-coding RNA (457 nucleotides) under Androctonus crassicauda. The record is from RNAcentral. Lineage: Eukaryota; Metazoa; Arthropoda; Arachnida; Scorpiones; Buthidae.